AGAGCGAACGCUGGCGGCAGGCUUAACACAUGCAAGUCGAGCGCCCCGCAAGGGGAGCGGCAGACGGGUGAGUAACGCGUGGGAACGUACCUUUUGGUUCGGAACAACACAGGGAAACUUGUGCUAAUACCGGAUAAGCCCUUACGGGGAAAGAUUUAUCGCCGAAAGAUCGGCCCGCGUCUGAUUAGCUAGUUGGUGAGGUAACGGCUCACCAAGGCGACGAUCAGUAGCUGGUCUGAGAGGAUGAUCAGCCACAUUGGGACUGAGACACGGCCCAAACUCCUACGGGAGGCAGCAGUGGGGAAUAUUGGACAAUGGGCGCAAGCCUGAUCCAGCCAUGCCGCGUGAGUGAUGAAGGCCCUAGGGUUGUAAAGCUCUUUUAACGGGGAAGAUAAUGACGUACCCGUAGAAUAAGCCCCGGCUAACUUCGUGCCAGCAGCCGC
RNAcentral lists this ribosomal RNA (443 nucleotides) under uncultured bacterium. Its description in RNAcentral is "SSU rRNA". It matches the Rfam family "Bacterial small subunit ribosomal RNA", at positions 26 to 518 of the family's 1533-position model. The record is from RNAcentral.